CACCACCUCUCCCACCCAACUCGGCCACGCAACCCCUCUCCCCAUAAAUACAGCGGAGUGGAUCGCUCACUAGGAAGCAAAGCCCGAGAUCAAACCAACACACAAAGCCACUCACUCUGCGCAGCAACGGCCCGCUCUCGCUUCGGGCUACCACAACUUGGCGUCGUUAUGAGCACCACCAACUCAACCACUGAUCUUCCGGUGGCGAUGACCGGUGCUGCCGGGUGCCCACUACUUCGGCCAGAACAUUCGACUGUUCUUGGCGAACGGAACUUCCAUACCUACGAGCAGGAGCAGCUACACCAAGAUUUCUCCCUUGUUGUCACCUACGCCGGGCCGCGCCGUCGUUUUUCUCCUCAAGACAUCACGGCCGCCAUCGUCGGAGCAAGUCCCCUGAUCCCGGCAAAUGCAUUCCGGGGGCCCGUGCUAUCCAAUCAACGAUGGCGAAAGCAGCUGUUGGAGAAGGACCGGGCUGGAAAUUGCCAGAAACCCAGGGGUCCCUGGCGAAUCGUGAUGGCAGGACGGGCUUCAUGGCGGGCACAUCGUCUGUUUCCAGACCAAACGUAACAACACCAGCCUCCGUGGAGUCGUCAGUGUAACCAUAUAGAAUUCCAGACACUAUGUCAUAUGACCACUUUGUAACACAGUCCUCUAUUUUUUCUUUGUCAACGAUCUCAUCUGAAAGUAAAGAUUGUAAAUUAUAACCACCGGCUGAUGUGUCUGCCUCCGCUGCAACCUUCUGACGGGCGUGUCCUCAACAAACAAAGGCUGCGGGAUCUUUUGUAGCCUUUUCCGUCUUGCAUCUGGUAUGGUUGAUGAUGUGAACAAAUGUUCAUUUGUAAAA
Molecule: long non-coding RNA, 844 nt
Organism: Brachypodium distachyon (stiff brome)
Lineage: Eukaryota; Viridiplantae; Streptophyta; Magnoliopsida; Poales; Poaceae
Exons: 2
Source: RefSeq, a predicted model, not a curated record